Molecule: transfer RNA, 77 nt
Filed under: Hyphomicrobiales bacterium
Lineage: Bacteria; Pseudomonadati; Pseudomonadota; Alphaproteobacteria; Hyphomicrobiales
Also listed under: 2 other names
Description: Rhizobiales bacterium (sediment metagenome) tRNA-Pro
Rfam family: tRNA
About the family: Transfer RNA (tRNA) molecules are approximately 80 nucleotides in length. Their secondary structure includes four short double-helical elements and three loops (D, anti-codon, and T loops).
Source: RNAcentral
CGGAGCGUGGCGCAGCCUGGUAGCGCACUUGCUUCGGGAGCAAGGGGUCGGAGGUUCGAAUCCUCUCGCUCCGACCA